This 449-nucleotide ribosomal RNA is filed under the name uncultured bacterium. RNAcentral's name for it is "partial 16S ribosomal RNA". It matches the Rfam family "Bacterial small subunit ribosomal RNA", at positions 29 to 523 of the family's 1533-position model. The record is from RNAcentral.
AACGAACGCUGGCGGCAGGCUUAAUACAUGCAAGUCGAACGCCCCUUUCGGGGGGAGUGGCAGACGGGUGAGUAACGCGUGGGAACGUGCCCAAAGGUAGGGAACAACUCCGGGAAACUGGAGCUAAUACCCUAUGUGCCCGAGAGGGGAAAGAUUUAUCGCCUUUGGAUCGGCCCGCGUUGGAUUAGCUAGUUGGUGGGGUAAAAGCCUACCAAGGCGACGAUCCAUAGCUGUUCUGAGAGGAAGAUCAGCCACACUGGGACUGGGACACGGCCCAGACUCCUACGGGAGGCAGCAGUAGGGAAUCUUGGACAAUGGGCGCAAGCCUGAUCCAGCCAUGCCGCGUGAGUGAUGAAGGCCUUAGGGUUGUAAAACUCUUUCGCAGGUGACGAUAAUGACGGUAACCUGAGAAGAAGCCCCGGCUAACUUCGUGCCAGCAGCCGCCGUAA